Molecule: long non-coding RNA, 4404 nt
Filed under: Equus caballus (horse)
Lineage: Eukaryota; Metazoa; Chordata; Mammalia; Perissodactyla; Equidae
Description: lncRNA (ENSECAG00000057543.1)
Source: RNAcentral
GAGAACUUCUAAGAUAUAGUCUCUUAGCAACUUUCAAAUAUACAAUACACUGUUGUUAACUAGAGUCUCAAAAGACGUCUCUCUUUAGAUGCAAAAUGAAGUCUCCUGCAGACUUGUGUUGUUUGAGACAGUGUUUCCAAAAGAAUGGCAGGCAGUUCAAAAAUGCAUUUAAAGAAUCGCAGACUGUCCGUGAGAUAAAGGUGCUGUCCUCUGAGAUUCCACAGUUAAGUGGAAUUAAAUGGGAAAUUUUUGCCUCCUAAUGGAGCACAGUGACACAUGGCCCUGAUGGGUACGACAUCAUUUCUGCUAUACUCUCUUGGUGGAAGGAGUCGAGAGCCCACCUGGAUUCAAAGGACUGGGACAGAGACCCCACCUCUCGAUGGGAGGAGUGUCGAGUGUUUGCAGCAGCUGCUGGAACCACCCUGACUGCGGCAGGGCAAAGAACGGGGUGGUGCCCCCCUGGACGCAGCCGCUGUGCUCCCUGCAGAGGCACCUCGCCACCGCCAAGAGCGACAAUCCCCUGCAAACUGCACCGCCAGCAAACUGCACCGCAGGCCUGCGUCGGGGGGCUCACGGCAGCCUGGUUCACAGACUCUCGGGAGAAAAAUUCCGACGUACAGGACCUGUUACCCAGCCGUGCAUCUCCUCACCUGCAGCAGGCAGGCUCUUGAGGAAUGAGACCUGGGAACUUCCGGAGGAGGCUGUGAAUGUGGCUGGAGGGUGUGAAGCUGUUCUGACUUUCACAGCGGAGUCUGUCCCACAAGAUGAGUCAGCGGGUGUCCAAAGCAAAGUUGCCCCUCCAACAUUCUGCGAGCCUGGGGCACCGAGCUGUCCGGGGGUCCUGAGCACCGGCCCUCGUCAGCAAGGCGGCCCUGUCUCUGCGGCGAGCACUGCGGCCUGCAGCGGCCAGGUGAAGACACGGAGGCCCCAAGAGGUGACACUACUUAGCAAAGGUCACCCAGCCACCCACCAGCACAUCUGGAUCUCAGACGCAGCGUUCUGGACUCUGGGUUCAGAACCUUUGAAGAAUAUGGUACAGUUAUGCUCACUGAUGGCUUGCCCAUGUCGCUUUUCCCGUGUGCUGUCAUGUAACAAAUUGACUUCAAAGAAUGCCUUCUAUGAAACAUUAGAAAUGAAGCAUGUUCUGUCAUCAGCUGAAAGCAUACGAUGUUCACAAGAACUGUGCUCGAUCGGAGAAUAUUUGGCUCUUGCAAGGUGUCCCCUUGUCCAGGAAGUCUUUCCCUGCAGCGCUGACAUCCAGCCUCGGUUUGACCUGAAGGUAAAGCUGGAGGGCGAGGGCAUACACAGGGUCUCACAAGUAUCUGAGGUCAUCAGUCGCUAAGUAUACCCACACUCUGCAUGAGGAGCUCAGCUCCAAGCAGGAGCUGAGCCAAUCUUUGCCUAACUGAUGAAUUACAACAGAAAAUUGCACUGCAGAGGACAGAACUGAGUUUGGCAAUUGAAAUCAUUCCCUAACUCGUGUUGCCCUUCCGACACCCUCUCACCUCCGCCUGAGGCUUCCCGAGUGACGGACGGACACUCCUAGUGAAAGAUUGAAGAUUGAGAGGAAGCGUUUUUAAAGAAAAAAAUAAUAUUUUUGGAGAUUUUCUUAAAUUGUUUAGAGGGAAAAAUAUGCCUGACAUUGGAAAAAUGAGUUCAAAGCCUGCGGUUUUACAGAGGUGGUUGUGUCCUUUUCUCCUUCUGUUCAACUCCUAAGGCCCACCAUCAAUGAAGUCUUCCCUGAGAUCAUGAGAUCAGCAAGAUAAGAGAAUCUAAGACCCAGGAGUGACGUUAUUAAGGAGGAAAUGCCAUCCACUCGUCUUGAUGCUCAGAUGCUGAUGGUCUCUCUGCAGCCUUCCUGCGAUGCCCGAGUUUUCCUUCUGUCCUAGCAAUCUUAGCAGUGUCACCUCUGCUCGUUGACCCCAAACUAAACACAUGAAGAGGGCCUCGUCCACUUCUCUGUGCCUCAGAAUGCUGGGUCUUCCUCCUGCGGGGGCGCCGGCUGAUCCGUCCGUCUUGGGGACCGUCCCUGUGAAAGUCUCGUUGGUUCUUUCCAAGAACUCAUCAAGAGGGAAAACUUACAGUGGUACCAACGUGUAUUGUAACACAAUGCGAGGAAGGUUGACUCAAAGGGGCAUUUUCUAAUAGAAUUUCAGGCAAAAGAACGUGGUUAAAUGGAAAAACAUAGCUUUUAAAAGAAAAUGCUGUUAUGACUAUUGCUUUUUUAAAAAUCUGUAAAAUAAUAUUGUACAAAAAAUUGCUUCCUUUCCCAGUACGUGAACAGUCCCCAUGGAUAACAAAGUCACAUUUCCAAUCAUCCAACUCAUUCACUCAUUGCAAAGGCUCGAUGGCACACCUCUUAGGUUCUAGGCCGUGUGCUGGCCAUGCGAAGGUGAAAGAGACACUGUCCCUCGUAGUCUGUGACAUCUGGGACAAACCAGGAGAGUGGGAGGGGAUCUGGGAAGUCAUACAGCCUAGAGUUGCAUGUAAGACAGGGUCACAUCUAUGACAACUUGGGCGAGUGGCCACUUCUGCUCCCGCCCCUCCCGUGACGGGCACUGCCUGCUUGGGGACGAGUCGCUGUGUUUGCUCAUAUUGCUCCCAAAUUUGUCUUCUUUUAUUUCUGCUUCAUAGUUCUUCUGGUUCUUUCUCUUGGAGCUACACAGAAGGCGCCUGGGAAUUUUGGAGAAAGUCCGUGUGACUCUCGGUUCCCCCGUGUCCUCUUCCCAGUUUCCUGCCGCCAUCCUCGUUGGCUGGGAAUACUCUGCACAAUGGAAGUAACUGGAUUUUGGAGUCAGACUUGGGGCUGGGCCACGUUCUAGCUGCAAGAGCUUGGACACACAUUUGUUAGCAUUUUGAGUGAUAAUAAGCCCGUAUUUUCUCACUUGUAGAACAGACACAAAAAUCCCAUCUCAUAAGAUUGUUCUGAAAAUAAACCGAGGAAAUCUGUGUGAUACGCCAGCACAGACUCCACACGUCCUUGGGCAUAAUAAACACUUGUCGUCAAGUGACCGGGUGAACGCAGGGUUUCACUGCUCUCCUCUCAUUGUUCCGCCCUGGACCCAUCCGGCUGCUCAUCGGCUCCUUUAAAAUAAGGCGUUCAGAUCUGAGCGUGGAUGUCAAUCUAGGGAAAGGAGUAGUGGCUUUAUUUCUUGGGUUUAUCUGAACUUUUACUUAUGGAAGCUGAUCGUAUGUAUUUUAAGCAACCUUCCAUUAUGCAAUGUGUUUUACAAUACGUAGGUUCCUUGAAUUUGUCGUUCAGCUAAGAACCUCAGAUUUUGUUUGUGGUAAAACUAGGUUUCUUGACCCCAGUGGGUGGAAUUGACUUAUCAAGCCCGAGAGCAGGAUUUUCACAUCCCUUCUGGUUGAGUUGCAGGCAAGUCCUCGGGCGCCCGUCUCAGAUUUUGAGCUGGAGCGGAAUCUGGACUCACCGUGGGUUUUAUUGCUGUCUCCCCUAACUUGGGUUGGAUCAGCGUUUGAGGACUGCAAAGCAAGCAUCCCACACUUCUCCUUAAAUGUGCUCCCCAUUGAAGAAUGUGACCUUCCAGCUUGGAGGAGGAAUUUCCUUCCGUCAAGGGCAUGCCUUCUGUAUCUUCAUCUGGUCAAUUCACAAAAACACCAAGGUGGAACAUGGACUAAUGCAAAAUCUGGCCAUAUACCACUUUUCUCCAGAAGGGUUCAAAUCCAGGUCCCCUUUGGAGUGUAUUUACUGUUCAACCAACCAGGAAUCCAUCUAAUAACUCUAUUGUCCAUCAGGUCCUACAUCACCAUUGUGAAGGAACCUCACAAAUGUGCCACACAUCAAGAUGCAAGGUGUAAACAAUAAUGAUGGCAGUGAACAUGUACCAAGAGCAUUGUGUUAAGGGAUGUCACUAAAUUAUCAAGUGGAGGCUAUACAUUGACUACAGGCGGGGAAAUAAACACUUAGAGAAUUUCAGAAACUUUGCCCACAUCAGACUAGGAAGCGGAGGAGCCGGGUUUGAAGGCAGGCAGGCCAGCCCGAGCGCCCACAGUUGUCACAACUACUUACUCCUUGAUUGUUUUCAAUAUCACCAGUUAUAUGUUUUAAUAAUAAUUCUCUACCUUUUCAUAGACAGUGGUCAAAUUUUUUCUGUAGAAUUUUAAGUAAUGGAUAGAUGAUAGCUUUGGGGAAUGGUGUGGGAAUAUUCUUGCUAAGGACAGAGGUACAGAUUUUUUUUAUUCCAGUUCAAGUUUGCUCUUUUGGUUUUCUUCCAUCCGGCUGCAGUUAACACUUUCAUGUACAAUAUUAUCACCAAGUAUGACGCAUUCCUUUUUAAAAUUAAAGAGCAAACAAGUAAAAAAAUUGAUAUCGUUAACUGCUUUCCUGGAGGCGGUAUACCUUCAGCCUUGUCUCCUGUGUUUCCCAAUAGUCCCCGAGGCGGG